UACGUAGGGUGCAAGCGUUAAUCGGAAUUACUGGGCGUAAAGCGUGCGCAGGCGGUUGUGCAAGUCUGAUGUGAAAUCCCCGGGCUUAACCUGGGAACUGCAUUGGAGACUGCACGGCUAGAGUGCGUCAGAGGGGGGUGGAAUUCCGCGUGUAGCAGUGAAAUGCGUAGAGAUGCGGAGGAACACCGAUGGCGAAGGCAGCCCCCUGGGAUGACACUGACGCUCAUGCACGAAAGCGUGGGGAGCAAACAGG
Molecule: ribosomal RNA, 253 nt
Filed under: uncultured bacterium
Lineage: Bacteria
Description: partial 16S ribosomal RNA
Rfam family: Bacterial small subunit ribosomal RNA
Source: RNAcentral